UCAUUAAAAUCAAAUUCCACUGGGAGAAAUUACACACUUGCACCGUGAUUGGGAAGAACAGGCCGCGUUCACUCAACCACUGAUGGAACUGGAGGGUCAUCAGAUGAGGCCUUGGAUCCAUUUUGAACUCAUUUUGUGGAUGGUGUGAGCAGGUAGUGAUCUCAGCUGGUCUUGAACUGCAAACUGGCUCCUAGCUACAGCUCCAGCCUCAGUUCAGAUCUUCUGUUGUUAGCGGGUGGCUUGCGCAUGUGUGGUUCAGUCCGUCAGAAAGG
Molecule: long non-coding RNA, 272 nt
Organism: Diceros bicornis minor
Lineage: Eukaryota; Metazoa; Chordata; Mammalia; Perissodactyla; Rhinocerotidae
Exons: 3
Source: RefSeq, a predicted model, not a curated record